ACGCUCGACACCUACGGAGGCAGCAGUAGGGAAUCUUCCACAAUGGGCGCAAGCCUGAUGGAGCAACACCGCGUGAGUGAAGAAGGGUUUCGGCUCGUAAAGCUCUGUUGUUGGAGAAGAACGUGCGUGAGAGUAACUGUUCACGCAGUGACGGUAUCCAACCAAAAAGUCACGGCUAACUACGUGCCAACAGCCGCGGUAAUCUGAGCGGGCUGGCAAGGC
This 222-nucleotide ribosomal RNA is filed under the name uncultured bacterium. RNAcentral describes it as "partial 16S ribosomal RNA". It matches the Rfam family "Bacterial small subunit ribosomal RNA", at positions 328 to 539 of the family's 1533-position model. The record is from RNAcentral.